RNAcentral lists this ribosomal RNA (945 nucleotides) under uncultured crenarchaeote. RNAcentral's name for it is "bacterial SSU rRNA". It matches the Rfam family "Archaeal small subunit ribosomal RNA", at positions 1 to 922 of the family's 1478-position model. Lineage: Archaea; Thermoproteati; Thermoproteota. The record is from RNAcentral.
UUCCGGUUGAUCCUGCCGGACCCCACUGCUAUCGGGGUGGGACUAAGACAUGCGAGUCGUACGCCUCCCGGCUGCCGGGGGAGGUGUGGCGCACGGCUCCGUAACACGUGGCUAACCUACCCUCGGGACGGGGAUAACCCCGGGAAACUGGGGCUAAUCCCCGAUAGGCGAGGAUGCCUGGAAUGGUUCCUCGCCGAAAGGGCGCCGGCACCGUGCUGUCGGCGUCGCCCGAGGAUGGGGCCGCGGCCGAUCAGGUUGUUGGUGGGGUAACGGCCCACCAAGCCGAUAACCGGUACGGGCCGUGAGAGCGGGAGCCCGGAGAUGGGCACUGAGAUAAGGGCCCAGGCCCUACGGGGCGCAGCAGUCGCGAAACCUCCGCAAUGCGCGAAAGCGCGACGGGGCCACCCCGAGUGCCGCCCGCUGAGGGUGGCUUUUCCCCGGUGUAAGUAGCCGGGGGAAUAAGGGGAGGGCAAGUCUGGUGUCAGCCGCCGCGGUAAUACCAGCUCCCCGAGUGGUGGGGACGAUUAUUGGGCCUAAAGCGUCCGUAGCCGGCCCGGCAAGUCUCCCGUUAAAUCCAGCGAUCUAAUCGCUGGACUGCGGGAGAUACUGUCGGGCUAGGGGGCGGGAGAGGCCGGCGGUAUUCCCGGGGUAGGGGUGAAAUCCUAUAAUCCCGGGAGGACCACCAGUGGCGAAGGCUGCCGGCUGGAACGCGCCCGACGGUGAGGGACGAAAGCCGGGGGAGCGAACCGGAUUAGAUACCCGGGUAGUCCCGGCCGUAAACGAUGCGGGCUAGGUGUUGGCACGGCUACGAGCCGUGCCAGUACCGCAGGGAAGCCGUUAAGCCCGCCGCCUGGGGAGUACGGCCGCAAGGCUGAAACUUAAAGGAAUUGGCGGGGGAGCACCACAAGGGGUGAAGCCUGCGGUUUAAUUGGAUUCAACGCCGGA